RNAcentral lists this ribosomal RNA (329 nucleotides) under uncultured eukaryote. RNAcentral's name for it is "partial 18S ribosomal RNA". It matches the Rfam family "Eukaryotic small subunit ribosomal RNA", at positions 1470 to 1796 of the family's 1831-position model. The record is from RNAcentral.
CCCUUAGAUGUUCUGGGCCGCACGCGCGCUUCACUGACGAUGGCAACGAGUUUUUCCUUCGCCGAAAGGUGUGGGUAAUCUUUUGAAACAUCGUCGUGCUGGGGAUAGAUCAUUGCAAUUUUUGAUCUUGAACGAGGAAUUCCUAGUAAGCGCGAGUCAUCAGCUCGCGUUGAUUACGUCCCUGCCCUUUGUACACACCGCCCGUCGCUACUACCGAUUGAAUGGUUUAGUGAGGACUCCUGAUUGGCGCCGCCGCCCCGGCAACGGAGCAGCGGACUGCCGAAAAGUUGUUCAAACUUGAUCAUUUAGAGGAAGUAAAAGUCGUAACA